RNAcentral lists this ribosomal RNA (253 nucleotides) under uncultured bacterium. Its description in RNAcentral is "partial 16S ribosomal RNA". It matches the Rfam family "Bacterial small subunit ribosomal RNA", at positions 524 to 776 of the family's 1533-position model. The record is from RNAcentral.
UACGAAGGGGGCUAGCGUUGUUCGGAAUCACUGGGCGUAAAGCGCACGUAGGCGGAUUUUUAAAUCAGGGGUGAAAUCCCGAGGCUCAACCUCGGAACUGCCUUUGAUACUGGAGAUCUUGAGUCCGGAAGAGGUAAGUGGAACUGCGAGUGUAGAGGUGAAAUUCGUAGAUAUUCGCAAGAACACCAGUGGCGAAGGCGGCUUACUGGUCCGGAACUGACGCUGAGGUGCGAAAGCGUGGGGAGCAAACAGG